GUGGUUCAACUGAUUUGAAGAGCUUGCUCAGAUAUGACGAUGGACAUUGCAAAGAGUGGCGAACGGGUGAGUAACACGUGGGAAACCUACCUCUUAGCAGGGGAUAACAUUUGGAAACAGAUGCUAAUACCGUAUAACAAUGACAACCGCAUGGUUGUUAUUUAAAAGAUGGUUCUGCUAUCACUAAGAGAUGGUCCCGCGGUGCAUUAGCUAGUUGGUAAGGKAAUGGCUUACCAAGGCGAUGAUGCAUAGCCGAGUUGAGAGACUGAUCGGCCACAAUGGGACUGAGACACGGCCCAUACUCCUACGGGAGGCAGCASUAGGGAAUCUUCCACAAUGGGCGAAAGCCUGAUGGAGCAACGCCGCGUGUGUGAUGAAGGGUUUCGGCUCGUAAAACACUGKUGUAAGAGAAGAAUGACAUUGAGAGUAACUGUUCAAUGUGUGACGGUAUCUUACCASAAAGGAACGGCUAAAUACGUGCCASCAGCCGCGGWAAUACGUAUGUUCCAAGCGUUAUCCGGAUUUAUUGGGCGUAAAGCGAGCGCASACGGUUAUUUAASUCUGAAGUGAAAGCCCUCAGCUCAACUGAGGAAUUGCUUUGGAAACUGGAUGACUUGAGUGCASYASAGGAAAGUGGAACUCCAUGUGUAGCGGUGAAAUGCGUAGAUAUAUGGAAGAACACCAGUGGCGAAGGCGGCUUUCUGGACUGUAACUGACGUUGAGGCUCGAAAGUGUGGGUAKCAAACAGGAUUASAUACCCUGGUAGUCCACACCGUAAACGAUGAGUGCUACGUGYYUGAGGGUUUCCGCCCUUCAGUGCCGCAGCUAACGCAUURAGCACUCCSCCUGGGGGAGUACGACCSCAAGGWUGAAACUCAAAGGAAUYGACGGGGACCCGCACAAGCGGGGGAGCAUGUGGUUAAUUCGAAGCAACGCGAAASAACCCUUACCAGGUCUUGACAUCCCUYGACAACUUCCASARAUGGAGCGUUCCCUUCGGGSGACAACGGYGAACAGGUGGUGCAUGGCUYGUUCGAYCASCCUCCGKYGUYCAUGAGAUGURGGUUAGUWCCCGCCAAACUSAGCSCAACCCUUAUUAUCUUAGUKGCCAGCMAUUCAGUKGSGCACSACUYKCUARGKSRAGAACAMC
This 1150-nucleotide ribosomal RNA is filed under the name Weissella sp. Its description in RNAcentral is "partial 16S ribosomal RNA". The record is from RNAcentral. Lineage: Bacteria; Bacillati; Bacillota; Bacilli; Lactobacillales; Lactobacillaceae.